This 73-nucleotide small nucleolar RNA is filed under the name Drosophila willistoni. Its description in RNAcentral is "snoRNA:GK26673". Lineage: Eukaryota; Metazoa; Arthropoda; Insecta; Diptera; Drosophilidae. The record is from RNAcentral.
AUGAUGUUUCCAACUUAUUUAUAUUCACAAUGAUAUUUGAAUACAACAUGAUAGUAAUUCAUAAUCUGACAUA